RNAcentral lists this ribosomal RNA (679 nucleotides) under uncultured Actinomycetes bacterium. Its description in RNAcentral is "bacterial SSU rRNA". It matches the Rfam family "Bacterial small subunit ribosomal RNA", at positions 30 to 716 of the family's 1533-position model. Lineage: Bacteria; Bacillati; Actinomycetota; Actinomycetes. The record is from RNAcentral.
CAACAACGCUGGCGGCGUGCUUACACACGCAGUUCAACGAUGAAGCUGGAGCUUGCUCCGGUGGAUUAGUGGCGAACGGGUGAGUAACACGUGAGCAAUCUGCCCUUCACUCUGGGAUAACUGCGGGAAACUGUAGCUAAUACCGGAUACGAAGCCUUGGGGCAUCCCAGGGGCUUGGAAAGAAUUUCGGUGAAGGAUGAGCUCGCGGCCUAUCAGCUAGUUGGUGAGGUAAUGGCUCACCAAGGCGACGACGGGUAGCCGGCCUGAGAGGGUGACCGGCCACACUGGAACUGAGACACGGUCCAGACUCCUACGGGAGGCAGCAGUGGGGAAUAUUGCACAAUGGGCGAAAGCCUGAUGCAGCAACGCCGCGUGAGGGAUGAAGGCCUUCGGGUUGUAAACCUCUUUUAGCAGGGAAGAAGGGUAACUGACGGUACCUGCAGAAAAAGCACCGGCUAACUACGUGCCAGCAGCCGCGGUAAUACGUAGGGUGCAAGCGUUGUCCGGAAUUAUUGGGCGUAAAGAGCCCAGUAGGCGGUUAUGUCGCGUCUGCUGUGAAAAUCCAAUGCUCAACAUUGGACCUGCAGAUGGGUACGGGCAGACUAAAGUGCGGCUGGGGAGAAGGGAAUUCCUGGUGUAACGGUCGGAAUGCGCAGAUAUCAGGAGGAACACCGAUGGC